RNAcentral lists this long non-coding RNA (291 nucleotides) under Panax ginseng (ginseng). Its description in RNAcentral is "long non-coding RNA (PGIN_LNC006350)". Lineage: Eukaryota; Viridiplantae; Streptophyta; Magnoliopsida; Apiales; Araliaceae. The record is from RNAcentral.
GGAUGUUCAUACAUGCCUGGUUCCAAACCCGAAGGUUUUUAAUCUUACUCAACAAUAAUAUGUAAUUCAACAUAUAUAUAUACGGGUAAUUGACAAAGGUAUAUCAACAUGUGAAUAAAUGCCAUGAUUAUCCAAGUGGGGACACUUGUAUAACCAUUUAGAAAUCAACUUAACAGAAUAUAUAUCUGAGCUAACAUGUUGAUAAUCAAAGCGUACAUAAUCUGUACAGGAAUAAAAUAAUUCUGAAACUUCUUACUCGUGUCCAUUGCAUAAAGAAAAUGCAAAGGUAGG